Molecule: transfer RNA, 72 nt
Filed under: Dipodomys ordii (Ord's kangaroo rat)
Lineage: Eukaryota; Metazoa; Chordata; Mammalia; Rodentia; Heteromyidae
Rfam family: tRNA
About the family: Transfer RNA (tRNA) molecules are approximately 80 nucleotides in length. Their secondary structure includes four short double-helical elements and three loops (D, anti-codon, and T loops).
Source: Rfam by way of RNAcentral
UGAGGUGUAGCUCAGAGGUAGAGCAUGUGCACAGCAUUCACAAGGUUCUGGGUUCCAUUCUCGGUACCACAA